RNAcentral lists this ribosomal RNA (501 nucleotides) under uncultured bacterium. Its description in RNAcentral is "partial 16S ribosomal RNA". It matches the Rfam family "Bacterial small subunit ribosomal RNA", at positions 29 to 523 of the family's 1533-position model. The record is from RNAcentral.
AUUGAACGCUGGCGGCAUGCCUUACACAUGCAAGUCGAACGGCAGCACGGGUGCUUGCACCUGGUGGCGAGUGGCGAACGGGUGAGUAAUACAUCGGAACGUAGCUCAUCGUGGGGGAUAACGCAGCGAAAGCUGUGCUGAUACCGCAUACGCCCUGAGGGGGAAAGCGGGGGAUCGCAAGACCUCGCGCGAUUAGAGCGGCCGAUGCCUGAUUAGCUUGUUGGUGGGGUAAAAGCCCACCAAGUCGACGAUCAGUAGCUGGUCUGAGAGGACAAUCAGCCACACUGGGACUGAGACACGGCCCAGACUCCUACGGGAGGCAGCAGUGGGGAAUUUUGGACAAUGGGGGCAACCCUGAUCCAGCAAUGCCGCGUGAGUGAAGAAGGCCUUCGGGUUGUAAAGCUCUUUUGUCAGGGAAGAAACACCGGCUCUAACACAGUCCGGGAAUGACGGUACCUGCAGAAAAAGCACCGGCUAACUACGUGCCAGCCGCCGCGGUAA